This 67-nucleotide transfer RNA is filed under the name Brachionus calyciflorus. RNAcentral describes it as "tRNA-Pro". The record is from RNAcentral. Lineage: Eukaryota; Metazoa; Rotifera; Eurotatoria; Ploima; Brachionidae.
AGAGAUGUAGUAUAUUUUAUUAUAUUUGGUUUGGGACUAAAAGAUAUUAUUUUUGUAAUCAUUUCUA